Long non-coding RNA from Peromyscus maniculatus bairdii (prairie deer mouse), 3898 nucleotides. RefSeq lists it as uncharacterized. NCBI's taxonomy places the organism in Eukaryota, Metazoa, Chordata, Mammalia, Rodentia, Cricetidae. The record is from RefSeq and is a predicted model, not a curated record.
AAGAGAAGAGAAAGAAAAGAAAACAGAAAAAAGGCAAUGAGAAAAGUAACAGAGACAACACUAACGUGAGCCUCUAGACCAGCUGUUCUCAACCUGUGGGUCACGACCCCUCUGGGGUCAAAUGACCAUUUCACAGAGGCCACCCAAGGCCAUUGGAAAACACGGACGUUUACAUUAUGAUUCAAUGUAACGGUAAAAAAAAAAAUUACAGUUACAAAGUAGCAAUGAAAUAAUGUUAUGGUUAAAGUCACCACAACAUGACUAACUGUAUUAAAGGGUUGAAGCCUUAGGAAGGUUGACAACCACUGCUCUCGACUGCAAUGAACUAAUAAAGGAUAAACAGGCUGGCAAGACGGCUCAGCAGGUAAAGGUCCUUGCUGCCAAGCCUGACAACCUGAGUUCAAUUCCCAGGGUCCACGUAAUGGGCAAAUUGUCCUCUGACUUCCACAUGUAUGACAAAUAAACAAACCAAUAAAUACAUGCAACAUUGUUGUAAAGGCUGAGCGGUGAUCCACACUAAAAUCUAUUAAGCAUUUUUAAACACAGAGAAGAUAAAAAGCAUUUGCAAAGAACAGAAGAGCCACCGGUAAAAGCAACAAAGCCAGAGCACCCCAGGAAGCUCAACACCACGUUGAGACAGAAGGAACUGAACCACUGCCAAUUUCAGAGUUCUGAGGGAGGUGAUGUUCGAACUAGAAUUGUAUUACCAGCCAAAUCAUUAAUCAAAUAUGAGAAUAAAGACCUUUUCAAAUACACAAAAAGCCAAGAAUUCUAUCAUGUGUUUUUUCUCUAGUUUCUAGAGGAUAGGAUCCAGGAAAAGAAAAAAAGAAGAAGAAAAAAAAAACAGUAAAAUAAGAUAAAGGGACUGGAGGAUCAGGAGUUACGGGCCAGCCUCCCCUACAGAGUGAGUCAGAGGUCAUCCCAGGCUACAUGAGAUCCUGUUUCAAACAUGCAAACAAAAAGAGAAGGAUGUAAAACACAGGAAAAGUAUAAGGAAAUCCAGGAUGCAGCAGGUAGAUUAAAGGAAGAUAUGAAAUGAAGGGAGAGAGAGGAGCUUUUUGGAGCUUAAAGCCUGACCGGUUAUCGAAAUAUUUCACCGGCUGAGGGGACUGGAAAAUAUAUUAAGUGCGGUGACCGAGAUCCAGAAGACAAGCCCCCUAUGAUCUCCCUCACGUGGAUUCCAGCUUUGAAUGUUGAGGUUUCUAUAUGGAAUUUGGAGUAGCUGGAGAGCCCAGGAAGCUAGAAGGGGCCUGUGAAAGGGAGAAAAUAAGGGGGGUGGGGGGAGGAGAGUCACAUGAUAUGAAGCUGGCUGGAUGAAGAAUUCCGGGAGUUAGAGGUUUAAGCAGGAAUAGAGGCAGGGAGGGAGAGAGAGAGGAAGAGUCGGGUAGGUUGACCAAAAUAAGGAUAUAUGAAAAACCCUUCUGGAAACCCUCUACUUUCUAAACUGAGUAACAAAUAUAACUUAAAAUUGGAAGGAGCUUGAACACAGAUACCCUGCAUGGGCAGACAACGCUUUCCCCAGAAGACAGGAGCUAUUAGAUUAAAAUCUCAGUAGUAGGCCUGUUCCCUAGGAAGGAGUUUCAGGCCUGGCGCUGUAAACCUGGUCAUAGGUCCAUGGCUCAGGAGUCACAGGCCCUAGGGAGGAACCUAUUACUCUUCUUUUGCUAAAAUACAUCGAAAUAUCAAACAACCUUCUAAAUAUCCAUCAUUAUACCCAAGUUUAAUGCUGCCCUCAACCUUGGCCCAAGACUAUUCUCUCUGUAGUGGACAUCAGUAAAUACCCAGACUCACAACUGUUCAAAGUACUGAUCAUCACUAAAUAGGACAUCUGUAUGCUCCUGUCCCCCACCAAGGUGCAAGGGACAUCUUAGAAGGAGGGUAAAAGAAAUAUAAGAACAAGAGGAUGAGGAAUUCCGGGAAGGGCUAUGUUGGGGACAUGACAUAACCAUUGUACCCAUAAACUCACUGCAGCCAUGGUUACCUGCACAACAGCCAACCAACAAGGCCAGUCAACAUUCCAACAGUCAGUGCAGACCGGACUCAGUGGUUUGUUAACAAGGAAAGGAGAAGAUGUGAAGGGAGAGAGAGGCAGGUUGAGGGUCUUUCUGGGGAGUGGAAGGGAGGGACUAGAGGUUUCUUGGGGGACUAGGAAGAGGAACCUGGGGGUGCUUAUGAUCAAGACGCAUUCUUUACCUAUAUGAAAUCAUCAAAGACAAACAAAAGAUAUUCUAUCAGAAGUAUUUCACCGUUUGAGCAUGAAAUGGGAGUCUUUGAUGGACCUGAACGAUUGUGAGGACCGGAAUAAAGAAACAAUGAAAUUUAAAAACAAGUUCAGCAGAUCUCUGGAGCUCCACAGAGCGUUGGAAGGCUACUAAAAAAGAUGGGUAACGCUUCUGUCAGCUAGAAGUCAUUUACGUUUGAAGCUGGUUAAAUCUUGAGCCAUCUUGAUCAAAGUGGGCACACAAUGCUUGUUGAUGGUACUUCCAGCUUUGAAGGCUUUUGCAUGCAUUUGAUGGCCUGCAGCUUCCUCUGCCUUUGCAAGAACAUUACUUAUCUUCCAGUGAGCCCUGACAGCAUCACACAGUCUACACGUCUUUGGGAGGAAAUGGCUUCCUGCGUAAAAUAUUGUGUAAGCACUUAAGGCUGGCUUUGUUAAUCUUUCAUUUCUUAAAAUUUAGGACACCACGGUGGCAUUAUAGGAGAGCAGUUGUCUAUAAUUUGCACAGCUAAAUUUGGCUUCGAGGUUGUCCAAUAUGCAAGUAUAUUGUUUGGAAUAAUAGUUAAUAAUAAGUUUCCAAGCAAGUCGGAAAUAGAGCCACUAUCAUUUAAAAGCCGGAGCCAAAAUGCAACUGCCUCUCCGGCAAGAUAAUGAGUUAAUGAGGAAGACCUCUUUCAAAGCAAAAAACACCACCACCAUUCGGAGUCAGCUGGGCGCCCACUACCUUGAACGUCAAGCUGCUCACCCAUCACAAUGUGAUCUCUAAGAAUAGACCCAUUACCACCUCUCCAGCAAGGGCUUGAACUAAACAGCUGGUACUUGUGUCUGAGUUCUUCGGGGGAUGAUGACUACAAUAGAAACAGGCUCUGGCUUCGGGUGAAAACCAGAGCGAGCUUUUGGAUUUACAGCAGGCAGUGGCUUUAAGUCCCUGAAAUUUGAGGUCACCUGGAAUAGCGCCUUUGAUGCCGUGUCAAGCGAAAGCUUUCCUGGACCCCUGCAGCACAGGUUUCACACUGGAUAUUCUCCAUCCCUCCAGCGUCCCCCUCUACCCUUUUCAUUGCUGAACUGGAGCACAUGGCCCAUUUCCUCUGACCUCCCGUUGGUUUUGGCUAUUAGGAAUGGUGGGCAAGUGACCCGAGGAUGCUAGAAAAGAGGAGGUGGCCCAUCCAUUGUCCUGAUGUGGCAGGCUCCAUUUGCCCCAGCUAAAGGUCAGCACGCAUCCUUGGCCACUGCUUCCAGCAGCCCUAUGCCCUUGUCCACACCAUGGACCUUCACACUGAUGGACGGCUAGUGCUGGUCCUGGUGGAGAGUCUUGGGGUGGUCUCCACUCCUGUUCUCCCUUUGCAAACAGCCCCUUCGCGGAUGUUUUCCAUCACCCUUCGAGUGGGUCAUCACUUUGCUUCUGACUGAUACUACAUUCCUCCUUUCUUAUACACCAAAGACUUUAAAUAAUACAGAGUUUUAAUUGGCACAUAAAAUAAUGGGUUUCACUGUGAUAUUUUCACACACACACACACACACACACACACACACACACACACACACACACCUGUCUGUUCAGAUGGAAGAGUGAUUACAAGCAACCCACUGAGUAGCAAAGGGGGCAGCAUUGCUGGUGACAUCAUUUGCAGAUUUUCCACUGGGCUCAAUGUACUGUUCUAGGAAAGCUGUUUUUCUCCU